UAUUUCUACUAGGGGAGCCUAAUAUAUAAGUGCUGAGAAAGAGAUUAAUUACUCUUGACCCUUUGAACCUGAUCUAGUCAACUCUAGCGUAGGGAAGUAGUGGAUAAAUGAA
RNAcentral lists this non-coding RNA (112 nucleotides) under Halobacteroidaceae bacterium. RNAcentral's name for it is "TPP sequence". It matches the Rfam family "TPP riboswitch aptamer (THI element)". From Rfam's summary of the family: Vitamin B(1) in its active form thiamin pyrophosphate (TPP) is an essential coenzyme that is synthesised by coupling of pyrimidine and thiazole moieties in bacteria. The previously detected thiamin-regulatory element, thi box was extended, resulting in a new, highly conserved RNA secondary structure, the THI element, which is widely distributed in eubacteria and also occurs in some archaea. Lineage: Bacteria; Bacillati; Bacillota; Clostridia; Halanaerobiales; Halobacteroidaceae. The record is from RNAcentral.